UCCACUUACUUUUUUAGAGAUGGACAUGCAACAUGUAAUUUUCAGCUGUGAAUCUGAUAUCUCUCUGAAAUGGAAAAACAGGAAAAGGGAACAAAAUGGGAAAACCAAUCAGGGAAAUGGAAAGUGUUACAAAUGGAGAAGCACAGCCCCUUUGAAGUGCCCUUGAGGGUGGCAUACAGUCUGGUAUAACCAAAGAAAGGUAUAGUAUAAUGUUACAUUUGGAAUAAGAAUAGCUCCACAGCUCUGGGAAAAAGGAUUCAAAACUUCUCAGACCUUUCUGCUGGUCUUCUCCACUGGAUCCCCCCCUCAACACACACAUGCAGACAUGUAUGAAUGCCUGUGUGCAGUCGUGCUCAGGCAGUGAGAUUGCAGGUGACUGCAAGGAGAGGGCUUGGCUUUGUGUUCCCAGCUCAACACGGGUG
This 422-nucleotide long non-coding RNA is filed under the name Cyanistes caeruleus (blue tit). RNAcentral's name for it is "lncRNA (ENSCCEG00000017585.1)". Lineage: Eukaryota; Metazoa; Chordata; Aves; Passeriformes; Paridae. The record is from RNAcentral.